GCGCAUCAUCUCCGACACUUGGCUUUGCUUGGCUGCUCCCUAACUGAAGAGCUGCUGGAGGAGUUAACUAUAUCUAAACACGAUAUAUGGGAGUCAAAGCGUC
Molecule: microRNA precursor, 103 nt
Filed under: Trichophyton rubrum BMU01672
Lineage: Eukaryota; Fungi; Ascomycota; Eurotiomycetes; Onygenales; Arthrodermataceae
Source: RNAcentral